Molecule: unclassified non-coding RNA, 247 nt
Filed under: Hevea brasiliensis (rubber tree)
Lineage: Eukaryota; Viridiplantae; Streptophyta; Magnoliopsida; Malpighiales; Euphorbiaceae
Source: RNAcentral
GUUGCCUUUGGGCCAGGUACCACAUCAACUUCUUUAAGGAAAUAUGGUGUUCCUAGAGAUGAGAAUGCUGGUAACAGCAGUAGGUCAGAGAUAAAAGACUCUAUUGAUGAUGAUGGAAAAAUCAUCAGUUCUUCACUUUCAACUGUCACAGAAGAUGGGAGCAUUGAUUCUCCUUCAGAUGCCAUUGCAGCAUUGCCCCUGAAAAUCAAGAAAGAUUACAGACAACCUUGGGAUUACAAAGAUACCG